RNAcentral lists this long non-coding RNA (362 nucleotides) under Trifolium pratense (red clover). Its description in RNAcentral is "long non-coding RNA (TPRA_LNC002100)". Lineage: Eukaryota; Viridiplantae; Streptophyta; Magnoliopsida; Fabales; Fabaceae. The record is from RNAcentral.
GUGGAAGCUAAACUGGGAGAGCUUAAGGAUGCUAUUUCAGGUGGUUCAACCCAAACUAUCAAAGAUGCCAUGGCUGCCCUCAAUCAGGAAGUUAUGCAGCUUGGCCAGUCUCUAUAUAACCAACCUGGAGCUGCAGGCCCAGCAGGACCUACACCACCUGGUGGCGAGUCUGGUCCAUCAGAAUCAUCAGGCAAGGGACCUGAUGGGGACGUGAUUGAUGCCGAUUUUACCGACUCUAAAUGAGUUAUAGAGAUUAUUCAAUAGGAUUAUUUUUAUUUAUGCUUCUUUUGUGCUAAAUUCUUAGUGAUUUUUGUCAAUGGAGAGGGAGCGUUUGUCUCUUAUUAUAAUUAGACUCACUUUAU